ACGCUGGCGGCAGGCUUAACACAUGCAAGUCGAACGGUAGCAGGAGAAAGCUUGCUUUCUUGCUGACGAGUGGCGGACGGGUGAGUAAUGCUUGGGAAUCUGGCUUAUGGAGGGGGAUAACUACGGGAAACUGUAGCUAAUACCGCGUAGUAUCGGAAGAUGAAAGUGCGGGACCGUAAGGCCGCAUGCCAUGAGAUGAGCCCAAGUGGGAUUAGGUAGUUGGUGGGGUAAAGGCCUACCAAGCCUGCGAUCUCUAGCUGGUCUGAGAGGAUGGCCAGCCACACUGGAACUGAGACACGGUCCAGACUCCUACGGGAGGCAGCAGUGGGGAAUAUUGCGCAAUGGGGGGAACCCUGACGCAGCCAUGCCGCGUGAAUGAAGAAGGCCUUCGGGUUGUAAAGUUCUUUCGGUAUUGAGGAAGGAGUGUAUGUUAAUAGCAUACAUUAUUGACGUUAAAUACAGAAGAAGCACCGGCUAACUCCGUGCCAGCAGCCGCGGUAAUACGGAGGGUGCGAGCGUUAAUCGGAAUAACUGGGCGUAAAGGGCACGCAGGCGGUUAUUUAAGUGAGGUGUGAAAGCCCCGGGCUUAACCUGGGAAUUGCAUUUCAGACUGGGUAACUAGAGUACUUUAGGGAGGGGUAGAAUUCCACGUGUAGCGGUGAAAUGCGUAGAGAUGUGGAGGAAUACCGAAGGCGAAGGCAGCCCCUUGGGAAUGUACUGACGCUCAUGUGCGAAAGCGUGGGGAGCAAACAGGAUUAGAUACCCUGGUAGUCCACGCUGUAAACGCUGUCGAUUUGGGGAUUGGGGCUUAAAGCUUGCGCCCGUAGCUAACGUGAUAAAUCGACCGCCUGGGGAGUACGGCCGCAAGGUUAAAACUCAAAUGAAUUGACCGGGGGCCCGCACAAGCGGU
RNAcentral lists this ribosomal RNA (910 nucleotides) under uncultured bacterium. Its description in RNAcentral is "bacterial SSU rRNA". It matches the Rfam family "Bacterial small subunit ribosomal RNA", at positions 33 to 933 of the family's 1533-position model. The record is from RNAcentral.